RNAcentral lists this long non-coding RNA (1299 nucleotides) under Oreochromis niloticus (Nile tilapia). RNAcentral describes it as "lncRNA (ENSONIG00000035319.1)". The record is from RNAcentral. Lineage: Eukaryota; Metazoa; Chordata; Actinopteri; Cichliformes; Cichlidae.
ACUGUUAUUUUACUCUUAUGUAGUAAAAUAAGUCUGCACGAGUCUCUUAUAAACAAAAUCAUCCCAUUAUAUCCCAAAGUCUGAACAUUUCUGUUCUGAAAUCUGAACCUACAUAUUCUUAUCCACUCGUGCAUUUUGUAUCUUUACAGAAAAAAAAUAAACUAAAGAUGACAGCAUUAAUUGCAUAUACACCAGUAAAGCCAUUUUCUAACUGUUUUUAUUCUGAUGUUGUGUUCACCAUAAAUGGUACCGUAGGCGUGCAAGUACUCUGACUGGACCCGUCCCAUCAUAGUGGACAUGACUGAGGUGGCUCUCUGUGCUGAGAUGGACCCACUUAACUUUACCUCCAAAGUCUGUGCCAAUAAUACAGUCCUACAAAACCUGCUGGCCAAUCAGGACAACACCUGGCUAAUAGAGCACUGUGCCAACUACUCAAAAGACCCAGGGCCAUCUUCUAAUAAAAGUGUGGAAGGAGGAGGCGUGACUAAACAGUGUCAAUACUCCAGCUGGAUCACAUCUCCACCAGAUGCUGCACUCCUGGCUCUAUGCUGGGAGAAUGAUCAGACCAAUUUUUUCUUAUCCAUUUGCCCUAAUGACGGUCUUCUCCUGUUUCUGUCCCGUGAGCCGUGGAGCCAGUGGGUGAACAAGAUGUGUACCACCUACACCAGCUAUACCACUGCCACCACCACCAGCAACAAUAGCAACAACAACACUAGCACCACUACGGACCCUAAUUUUUGCCUAGCAAGAAAUCUGGUGAAGGAGUUCAACUGGAGCUGCUCUACCAUCUUCGCUUCAGCCUGUCAGCCGUGUGCCACUCAGAAUAUGGUCCUGCAGACAGUAGUGCGCUGUUGGGUGGACAGUGUGCGGUCCAGGAUGGUGGAUCUGCUGACUCCACCUGUGGCUAGAGCAUUGGAGCAGGCAGUCAGCACCACUGUGGUUCUCCUGUUAUCCCUGGAGGAGGUUCAGCUCACCCAGUGGCAUGUCACCGAGACAAUACGUCCAAGUGUGCUAAAAUCUGUGGUCAACUAUUUCAAGCUGGAGGACAACUCUGACAACAAGAGAGUCUUACUACAGUGUUUUGGGACGGUGCUAAGCAGCCUGCUGCAGACGGGAAGAAACCUGCAGAACACUGACGAAAUGCUUCUCAUUAAGGCGUACUUCAAUUUAUCGCUGAGCAGCCUGAGGCCAGUGCUCAAAGAAGCUCACAAUCACACCAUCAGACUCAUCCUUCAGUACUACGCCAGUGUCAAAGACACACUGCAGGUGAAUAAGACCAACACCACAUCCGCCUUUUAA